CCUACGGGUGGCAGCAGUGAGGAAUAUUGGUCAAUGGACGCGAGUCUGAACCAGCCAAGUAGCGUGAAGGAUGACUGCCCUAUGGGUUGUAAACUUCUUUUAUAUGGGAAUAAAAUGUUCCACGUGUGGGAUUUUGUAUGUACCAUAUGAAUAAGGAUCGGCUAACUCCGUGCCAGCAGCCGCGGUAAUACGGAGGAUCCGAGCGUUAUCCGGAUUUAUUGGGUUUAAAGGGAGCGUAGGUGGGUUGUUAAGUCAGUUGUGAAAGUUUGCGGCUCAACCGUAAAAUUGCAGUUGACACUGGCAGUCUUGAGUACAGUAGAGGUGGGCGGAAUUCGUGGUGUAGCGGUGAAAUGCUUAGAUAUCACGAAGAACUCCGAUUGCGAAGGCAGUUCACUGGACUGCCACUGACACUGAGGCUCGAAAGUGUGGGUAUCAAACAGGAUUAGAUACCCGAGUAGUC
This 460-nucleotide ribosomal RNA is filed under the name uncultured bacterium. RNAcentral describes it as "partial 16S ribosomal RNA". It matches the Rfam family "Bacterial small subunit ribosomal RNA", at positions 338 to 795 of the family's 1533-position model. The record is from RNAcentral.